CAGCCAACCACCAACCUCACCACCAAACUAUCUUGAGAGUCUCUUAAUUAAUUUAAAUUCUCUUUUAGAGUGCAGAAGGAAGAGAUCAGAUUGCAGUGAAAACAUUCAUAUUUUUCAUGUGUCCCUCUCUGUGCUGGGUAUGGACGGGCUGACUAAUGGGGAUGGCCCCUACUCUGCGGGAGUGAGAAGCAUCUACUCAGUUGGGAACAACUGCCAGGGCUCUGGUCUGGGCAACUAGGUGAGUGGUGGCCACAUCCAACAACUUCUUCCUUCUUCUAUGUCCAGCAAUUUGCACUGUUCUCUCAUUGACUGUCUCCCCUCCAGCAUCGCUCAACCGGGAAAACAACAAUAAUAAAGGCUGCCAUUCACUGAGCACCUACUCUGCACCAGGCACUUCAUUCAUUCCAGGAACUGACGUUUAUUGAGGAUCAUCUAUAUGCCAGGCAGUGUUGUAGGAUCUGAGGAUGCACCAGUGCACUAAGCAAUCUAAAAUCUGCCCUUGUGGAGUUUAUAUUCUUGUGGGGGAGACAGCAAUAAGCAAUGAAUUUAAUAAAUCAACAAAUGAGGCAGUGUGGUAUGUGUUAUUAGAAAAGUAGUGAAGGAAAGGAGGUCUGGCAGUCCUAAUCACUGGGUAUGCAGGUUUAAAUGGGUGUUCAGGGUCAGCCUCAUUGAGAAGGAGACAUUUGAGCAGAUACUUGAAGAUGGUGAGGGACCAGGACACAGGGAUAUCUAGAGGAACAAAGCUACAGGCAUUGGGAAGAACCCUGCACUCCUCUGAGGAGGGGGUGGGUGUGAUGUGAAUUCCAGAACACAUUGGGCAUUGGAGUUACAAUGCUGAAAUCACACUCCCAUGGGCUUGGGAGAGACGGACAAUUCUACAAACAAUUACAACAAACUUGCAAGUACUACCUGGUUUAGAGGGAAUGAAGGGGAUUUUGUCAGCAUUUAUUUGCCUUUUUAAGGAAGUCAGAGGAGCUUGCCUGAGGUGCCAGGAACCUCAGAACAGAAGGAAUAGGAGAAGUUAACUAGGAUCGGAGGGAAGAGUUUUCUAGACAGUGUGAGUGCCAUUAGGAAGUGCAUCUCAGGAAUCUGAGGGCAGGGAAUUUAAUUGUCUGAGGGCACCAGCUGCUGCAUUCUGAAAUCCAUCUCCACAUUUUUACUAGACUACACGUCCCACAGGCUGCUCUCAGCCUAUAACUGAAUGUGACAGAAAUAGUAAGGCAGGACUGUUCCUGGGAGGCUGAUUUUGUUUCUGUUCCA
This is a long non-coding RNA of Orcinus orca (killer whale), 1260 nucleotides long. RefSeq lists it as uncharacterized. NCBI's taxonomy places the organism in Eukaryota, Metazoa, Chordata, Mammalia, Artiodactyla, Delphinidae. The transcript is spliced from 3 exons. The record is from RefSeq and is a predicted model, not a curated record.